CCCGUCUUUAACCCCGCUUCUUGCUGGUAGCGGUCGAUCGCCGUCAACUUUGACGUUAAUUCGUAAUAAUAAACAUUUUUUGUCCCUAGCUAGUAAAAAAAUGACUUUUUUCCCCCUGCAUUUUAAAGCACGGUGAAUGAAAACGAACUGGUGACGGCGCCGUUGACGAUAUCAUACAACGGGAACGUCUCCGUUUUCCACGUCGGACAGGCGGAGGCGGAGAAAAUAAUGAGAUUAGCAUCGGAGGCAAGCGCGAGGGAAAGGAUACUGACCCAACUUAGAGGAGGUUUGCCACUAUCUCGAAAAAUGUCCCUGCUGCGGUUUCUUAACAAGCGCAAAGAGAGGUUAAGAGCAAAGACGCUUUAUGAGAGCGAGACCAAUGAGGACCAAUGAAGAAGGGGAUAAUGGAUAUCAUGGGAGAUCUUAGCCUCUAGUAAGGCGUAGAUUAGAUGUGUCCUGUUUUCCUUUUGAGGAAAGAUGGAGUGUUUCUUGUUAUUAAUUUGGUCCUUGUUUACAUCAGAAAACGUUGACUUUGUUCAUGGCUUUUAUUCUACCUAUUGUCAUAGUUUUGCAACUCUUUUUCUUAGGGAAGGCUGAUGUAAUUAAAUAUAUUAGUUCUUUUUUUUUACACAAAAUGACCUUAUUUAAGUUUUUC
Molecule: long non-coding RNA, 655 nt
Organism: Asparagus officinalis (garden asparagus)
Lineage: Eukaryota; Viridiplantae; Streptophyta; Magnoliopsida; Asparagales; Asparagaceae
Exons: 4
Source: RefSeq, a predicted model, not a curated record